AGGGAAGGUGGCUGUUUUUCAGAUCGGGUUUCCGAUUCCGACCACGACGGCGAGCGUGAAUGGUACUGGUAGCUUCGUCUUGCCAUCCUCGUUCUAUAUGUGGUCUCGAAAUCUUCAGAGGAGCCUUCAUGAGUGAGAAUCGAUUAAUUGAAGCUCAAGAAGUUUCCCGGCGAGAGUUCGAUGUUUUCCGGUCACCGGCGAAGGCAAGUGAGGUAUCAAUCUUGAUCUUCUCGUCGGGCUUUACCUCUAUAUAUACUUUAAAUUGAGCUUGGUAGUGUUUGGAAGAAGUUGGAAUUUUGGCAGAGAGGACUGCCGUGAGUGCUGCUGUGUAUGGCGGCGGUAGGUGGUUGUUCUGGUAGUUUCUGAUUUUGUUAGUUUAUUGAUUAUGAAGGAGUAAAUUGAGAUGUUUGGAUUCGAGAAAUAGAGGAGUUAGGUAUUUGGAAGAUUAAACUGUCAGCUGGGUUGGGCAGGAGUUUGGAAUUGCCAUACUGGGUUCUUUUGGUUUUAAUGUUGUCAAUUUGGUUAAGCUGUGUUGAUAAUAGUAGUUGAAAGUGGACUAUCAAAUUGGUGUUGGCGGAAUGGAGCAGAUGUCCAGUUGAUGGCUUUACUGUGUAAUUGCUAUUGUUAUAUUUGAUUAACUGAAAUGGAAGAAUUGGGUAUUUGGAAGGCUAAGUUUUGUUUGCUGAGUUGCUUAGGAAGUUUGAGAGCAGUACAAGACUUCAUAUGGUUUUGAAGUUUUGCAGUUUUAGUUACUGUGCUUGAAUUUCAAGUUGGAGAGGUGUGUUGACGAAUUGGGAAGUACGGCCAACUAUGAUGAUAUGAAAUAAUGUAUAAUGGUGAUUGUUGGACUUUUGUGUUAUAAUGGAAACUGCCGUAUAUGGAGACAUGUUCAUUGUGAAUAAGUCUACAAGUUACUUGUUAUGCGGGUGUAAAGGAGACGAGAAGAGUGAUCGUGAGUUUAUACAGGAAGUAAUUAAGAGGAUUUGGGUGUCCAUAGUGAAUUUGUAAUUGGAUGGGUGUCCUUGGUAAAUUUUAGAUAUUGAUAAUUUCGACUUGAAGAGAUUCGCCUACUUUCUCGGAUUGAGGAUUUGGUACGAGGAUCGAAUGCGAGUAGUUGGAUUGCAGUUCCAAAAGUAGAAGGAUAAGGAUUUCAGAAGCAUGUCGCUGAGUUACAAAUUUUAGCUGGUGUCAGAACUAACAUUUGGAUUCCAGAGACGAUCGGUUGCCAACUCCAGCAAUCGUGGUAAGGAGUUGGAGCACCACUGAGGGAGGAAACUUAUCAUUUACCGGGUGGCCAAGCUAAGGGAUAAGGGUGCUUCAUUACCGGUGGUUGACGUACGUGUACCCGGUGACAUACUACAUCAACCAGCCUAAAGCUGCUGAGCAUUAUUAAAAGUUGAAGAAUAGGGUGCUAUUGCCAAGACUUUGCAGAGCACUCAACACCCGGACAUCCCACCGGAUCAGCUACCUCCUUUGCACUGGCCAACUCAACUAAGUGUUGUCAAAAACGCUAUGGGAGAAACAAAAGGGUCUUACCUUCGUGGUAUUGGACGAGCAGGCAUCCUAGAGAAGAGCACAAGGUCAACAUCUUCCCCUUCACGCUCUCGACCGAAUAAUGAGGCGAUGGCAGCGAUAGAGGCUGCUAAAAAGGAGGCGGCUGAAGCACAAGAGAGGGCCCAAAAAGCCGAGAAGAUCGCUGAGCAGUCUGCUGUAGAUUAUCAAGUUUUGAAGUUGCAAAUGGAUCAAAUCAUGGCUCGAAUAGGGCUACAGCCUAUGUGUUCACCCUUGGUCCUAAGCCAACAACCUCGAGACGACGAUGAUGAUAGAGGCCUUGACACUUCUCCGAUUAGUUUAAGAAAUCAGUAGAUUUUUCUAGUUUAAAUAAUUGUACAAACAAUACUAUCUAAUAUUUCUUUUGUUCGGUACGAUAACUUUAUUAUUAUUAGUAAUAUAAAUAUUUCGGUUAAUUUA
Molecule: RNA transcript, 1971 nt
Organism: Fragaria vesca subsp. vesca
Lineage: Eukaryota; Viridiplantae; Streptophyta; Magnoliopsida; Rosales; Rosaceae
Exons: 3
Source: RefSeq, a predicted model, not a curated record